Molecule: ribosomal RNA, 471 nt
Filed under: Streptococcus sp. oral taxon 064
Lineage: Bacteria; Bacillati; Bacillota; Bacilli; Lactobacillales; Streptococcaceae
Description: bacterial SSU rRNA
Rfam family: Bacterial small subunit ribosomal RNA
Source: RNAcentral
GCGGCGUGCCUAAUACAUGCAAGUAGAACGCUGAAGGAGGAGCUUGCUCUUCUGGAUGAGUUGCGAACGGGUGAGUAACGCGUAGGUAACCUGCCUGGUAGCGGGGGAUAACUAUUGGAAACGAUAGCUAAUACCGCAUAAGAGUAGAUGUUGCAUGACAUUUGCUUAAAAGGUGCAAUUGCAUCACUACCAGAUGGACCUGCGUUGCAUUAGCUAGUUGGUGGGGUAACGGCUCACCAAGGCGACGAUACAUAGCCGACCUGAGAGGGUGAUCGGCCACACUGGGACUGAGACACGGCCCAGACUCCUACGGGAGGCAGCAGUAGGGAAUCUUCGGCAAUGGACGGAAGUCUGACCGAGCAACGCCGCGUGAGUGAAGAAGGUUUUCGGAUCGUAAAGCUCUGUUGUAAGAGAAGAACGAGUGUGAGAGUGGAAAGUUCACACUGUGACGUAUCUACCAGAAAGGACGCA